AACGAGGCCGACCUGCGGCUGAGUUACCUGCGGAGGGAUCAUCAUCGAAUUCAUAUCCCCCUCCUCAACCGGAGGGGGACCCAUGAUAAACCCUUCUGUGCACCGUAAACCGUUCACUUUGGCAGGCUUUGGUGGUGAGCGUGAGCUCGCCUCCAACCUCGCGUUCCCUCCCUAAGGGAUGUUACGCGUGGCGGCCUGCCGGAGUCCUAUUAAAAAACUCGUUUUCGAACACGUCUGAAA
Molecule: unclassified non-coding RNA, 240 nt
Filed under: soil metagenome
Description: partial contains 5.8S ribosomal RNA, internal transcribed spacer 2, and large subunit ribosomal RNA
Source: RNAcentral